AUACUUGUUUCAGCAGCAUAUAUACUACAGUGGAAACAAUAAGACAAAAUUAGCAUGGCUCUUAUACAGUAUGACACAUAUAUUUGUGAAGCUAUCCAUGUUUUU
This is a small nuclear RNA of Suncus etruscus (white-toothed pygmy shrew), 105 nucleotides long. The record is from RefSeq and is a predicted model, not a curated record. NCBI's taxonomy places the organism in Eukaryota, Metazoa, Chordata, Mammalia, Eulipotyphla, Soricidae.